RNAcentral lists this ribosomal RNA (502 nucleotides) under uncultured bacterium. RNAcentral describes it as "partial 16S ribosomal RNA". It matches the Rfam family "Bacterial small subunit ribosomal RNA", at positions 899 to 1397 of the family's 1533-position model. The record is from RNAcentral.
ACUCAAAUGAAUUGACGGGGGCCCGCACAAGCGGUGGAGCAUGUGGUUUAAUUCGACGCAACGCGAAGAACCUUACCUGGGCUCGAACGGCUUCGGACGGCUGGUGGAAACACCGGCGUUCCCGCAAGGGACCGGAGUCGAGGUGCUGCAUGGCUGUCGUCAGCUCGUGUCGUGAGAUGUUGGGUUAAGUCCCGCAACGAGCGCAACCCUUGUCCUGUGUUGCCACUCCUUAACUGGAAGCACUCGCAGGAGACCGCCAGCGAUAAGUUGGAGGAAGGUGGGGAUGACGUCAAGUCAUCAUGGCCUUUAUGUCCAGGGCUACACACGUGCUACAAUGGGCGGUACAAAGCGCCGCGAACCCGCGAGGGGGAGCCAAUCGCCAAAAACCGCUCUCAGUUCGGAUUGCAGGCUGCAACUCGCCUGCAUGAAGCUGGAAUCGCUAGUAAUGGCAUAUCAGAACGAUGCCGUGAAUACGUUCCCGGGCCUUGUACACACCGCCCGU